AGCGAACGCUGGCGGCAGGCUUAACACAUGCAAGUCGAGCGGGCAUCCUUGUGGUGUCAGCGGCAGACGGGUGAGUAACGCGUGGGAACGUGCCCUUCGGUUCGGAAUAACUCAGGGAAACUUGAGCUAAUACCGGAUACGCCCUUUUGGGGAAAGGUUUACUGCCGAAGGAUCGGCCCGCGUCUGAUUAGCUAGUUGGUGAGGUUAUGGCUCACCAAGGCGACGAUCAGUAGCUGGUCUGAGAGGAUGAUCAGCCACACUGGGACUGAGACACGGCCCAGACUCCUACGGGAGGCAGCAGUGGGGAAUAUUGGACAACGGGGGCAACCCUGAUCCAGCCAUGCCGCGUGAGUGAUGACGGCCUUAGGGUUGUAAAGCUCUUUUCUCCGGGACGAUAAUGACGGUACCGGAGGAAUAAGCCCCGGCUAACUUCGUG
This 436-nucleotide ribosomal RNA is filed under the name uncultured bacterium. RNAcentral describes it as "partial 16S ribosomal RNA". It matches the Rfam family "Bacterial small subunit ribosomal RNA", at positions 29 to 507 of the family's 1533-position model. The record is from RNAcentral.